Molecule: ribosomal RNA, 804 nt
Filed under: Streptomyces sp.
Lineage: Bacteria; Bacillati; Actinomycetota; Actinomycetes; Kitasatosporales; Streptomycetaceae
Description: bacterial SSU rRNA
Rfam family: Bacterial small subunit ribosomal RNA
Source: RNAcentral
CGAUGAACCUCCUUCGGGAGGGGAUUAGUGGCGAACGGGUGAGUAACACGUGGGCAAUCUGCCCUGCACUCUGGGACAAGCCCUGGAAACGGGGUCUAAUACCGGAUACUGAUCAUCUUGGGCAUCCUGGAUGAUCGAAAGCUCCGGCGGUGCAGGAUGAGCCCGCGGCCUAUCAGCUUGUUGGUGAGGUAACGGCUCACCAAGGCGACGACGGGUAGCCGGCCUGAGAGGGCGACCGGCCACACUGGGACUGAGACACGGCCCAGACUCCUACGGGAGGCAGCAGUGGGGAAUAUUGCACAAUGGGCGCAAGCCUGAUGCAGCGACGCCGCGUGAGGGAUGACGGCCUUCGGGUUGUAAACCUCUUUCAGCAGGGAAGAAGCGCAAGUGACGGUACCUGCAGAAGAAGCGCCGGCUAACUACGUGCCAGCAGCCGCGGUAAUACGUAGGGCGCGAGCGUUGUCCGGAAUUAUUGGGCGUAAAGAGCUCGUAGGCGGCUUGUCGCGUCGGUUGUGAAAGCCCGGGGCUUAACCCCGGGUCUGCAGUCGAUACGGGCAGGCUAGAGUUCGGUAGGGGAGAUCGGAAUUCCUGGUGUAGCGGUGAAAUGCGCAGAUAUCAGGAGGAACACCGGUGGCGAAGGCGGAUCUCUGGGCCGAUACUGACGCUGAGGAGCGAAAGCGUGGGGAGCGAACAGGAUUAGAUACCCUGGUAGUCCACGCCGUAAACGGUGGGCACUAGGUGUGGGCAACAUUCCACGUUGUCCGUGCCGCAGCUAACGCAUUAAGUGCCCCGCCUGGGGAGUAC